UACGUAGGGUGCGAGCGUUGUCCGGAAUUAUUGGGCGUAAAGAGCUUGUAGGCGGUUUGUCUCGUCUGCCGUGAAAUUUCGAGGCUCAACCUCGAACUUGCGGUGGGUACGGGGCAGACUAGAGUGUGGUAGGGGAGACUGGAAUUCCUGGUGUGCGGUGAAAUGCGCAGAUAUCAGGAGGAACACCGAUGGCGAAGGCAGGUCUCUGGGCCGAC
This 215-nucleotide ribosomal RNA is filed under the name uncultured bacterium. RNAcentral's name for it is "partial 16S ribosomal RNA". It matches the Rfam family "Bacterial small subunit ribosomal RNA", at positions 524 to 738 of the family's 1533-position model. The record is from RNAcentral.